GCCUGGGUGGCUCAGUUGGUUGAGCGUCUGACUUCGGCUCAGAUCAUGAUCUCACAACUCCUGAGUUCGAGCCCGAGCCCACGUU
This 85-nucleotide transfer RNA is filed under the name Felis catus (domestic cat). It matches the Rfam family "tRNA". From Rfam's summary of the family: Transfer RNA (tRNA) molecules are approximately 80 nucleotides in length. Their secondary structure includes four short double-helical elements and three loops (D, anti-codon, and T loops). The record is from Rfam by way of RNAcentral. Lineage: Eukaryota; Metazoa; Chordata; Mammalia; Carnivora; Felidae. RNAcentral also lists the same sequence under 2 other names.